This 366-nucleotide long non-coding RNA is filed under the name Struthio camelus australis. Its description in RNAcentral is "lncRNA (ENSSCUG00000008099.1)". The record is from RNAcentral. Lineage: Eukaryota; Metazoa; Chordata; Aves; Struthioniformes; Struthionidae.
CAAGAGGUAGGCUAGUAAAAUGGUCUGACGUUCUCCUUUGAGACUUAUGUUCCUGUUUCUUUCAGAGAACUCUGUGAAGACUUUGAGAAACUCAGCCAAGCACUCAGAGUGAGCAAACUUUUUCAGUGUUUUUUCUUCCUGAAAGCUCAGAGUAGGAAAAUCUGGCUUCCAGAAGGGACCGAUCUAAAGCCAUGAAGCAGAGCAGCCUUGACAGAGAGGUUCUUGCGUGGAUCAGAAGGCUGAAGCUGUUGGCCUCACCUCGUCAGUCGAAGCGUUCCCAGUCUGGGUUUUCUCUGGAGCUGUGGUUGGAGGAGGUGACAGCUAUGUGGAUGUGUAGCAGCAGGAAACAUUUGGCUGAUUGAGCAG